This 876-nucleotide ribosomal RNA is filed under the name uncultured euryarchaeote. RNAcentral's name for it is "bacterial SSU rRNA". It matches the Rfam family "Archaeal small subunit ribosomal RNA", at positions 23 to 903 of the family's 1478-position model. Lineage: Archaea; Methanobacteriati; Methanobacteriota. The record is from RNAcentral.
GCCACCGCUAUUGGAAUACGAUUAAGACAUGCGAGUCGAGAGACGUAAGGUCUCGGCGGACCGCUCAGUAACACGUGGAUAACAUGCCCUAAGGAGGGGGAUAAUCUCGGGAAACUGAGGGUAAUACCCCAUAGGUCUAUUUUGCUGGAAUGCUAAUAGGCCGAAAACUCCGGUGCCUUAGGAUUGGUCUGCGGCCUAUCAGGCAGUAGUGGGGUGUAAUGGACCCACUAGCCCGUGACGGAUAUGGGCCUUGAGAGAGGGAGCCCAGAGAUGGACUCUGAGACAUGAGUCCAGGCCCUACGGGGCGCAGCAGUCGCGAAAACUUUCGCAAUGGGGGCAACCCCGACGAGGGAAUUCCAAGUGCUAGCACUUUGUGUUAGCUGUUCUUCUGUCUAAAAAACAGGAGGAGUAAGGGGCGGGUAAGACGGGUGCCAGCCGCCGCGGUAAUACCCGCGCCCCAAGUGGUGGUCGAUAUUAUUGAGCCUAAAACGUCCGUAGCCGGUCUUCUAAAUCCUUGGGUAAAUCGGGCAGCUUAACUGUCCGAAGUCCGGGGAGACUGGGAGACUUGGGACCGGGAGAGGUCAGAGGUACUUCUGGGGUAGGGGUAAAAUCCUGUAAUCCUGGAAGGACCACCGGUGGCGAAGGCGUCUGACUAGAACGGAUCCGACGGUGAGGGACGAAGCCCUGGGGCGCAAACGGGAUUAGAUACCCCGGUAGUCCAGGGUGUAAACGCUGCGGGCUUGGUGUUGGGGGUCCUUAGUGGGCGCCCAGUGCCGGAGAGAAGUUGUUAAGCCUGCUGCUUGGGGAGUAUGUCCGCAAGGAUGAAACUUAAAGGAAUUGGCGGGGGAGCACCGCAACGGGAGGAGCGUGCGGUUC